UAAAGCCUGUUGAAGAUGCAAUCUCAUAUAUUCUGUCAGGUGGAGACAAGCCAUGGUUUGCAGUGAGAUUUAUCAAUAAUAUCAAAGGAAGAGGAGUGUUUGCUACCGAGGCAAUCGAGCAAGGUUCUUUUGUGUUGGAGUACAGGGGUGAAUUCAUAUCAGCAGAAGAAUGCAGAUCAAGGAACUACUCAGAGACACAGAGUACAUUUCUGUAUGAGUUUGAUUGGCAGAAACGCCAGUGGUGUAUUGAUGCAUCCAAGGAAGACGGCUCCCUUGGAAGAUUAGUGAACGACAACCACAAAUCUCCGAACUGCGUCAUGAAAAAAGUUACAGUGAACAACAG
Long non-coding RNA from Scomber scombrus (Atlantic mackerel), 343 nucleotides. RefSeq lists it as uncharacterized. NCBI's taxonomy places the organism in Eukaryota, Metazoa, Chordata, Actinopteri, Scombriformes, Scombridae. The transcript is spliced from 3 exons. The record is from RefSeq and is a predicted model, not a curated record.